This 497-nucleotide ribosomal RNA is filed under the name uncultured bacterium. RNAcentral's name for it is "partial 16S ribosomal RNA". It matches the Rfam family "Bacterial small subunit ribosomal RNA", at positions 28 to 507 of the family's 1533-position model. The record is from RNAcentral.
GAUGAACGCUGGCGGCGUGCCUAAUACAUGCAAGUCGAGCGAACAGACGAGGAGCUUGCUCCUCUGACGUUAGCGGCGGACGGGUGAGUAACACGUGGAUAACCUACCUAUAAGACUGGGAUAACUUCGGGAAACCGGAGCUAAUACCGGAUAAUAUAUUGAACCGCAUGGUUCAAUAGUGAAAGACGGUUUUGCUGUCACUUAUAGAUGGAUCCGCGCCGCAUUAGCUAGUUGGUAAGGUAACGGCUUACCAAGGCAACGAUGCGUAGCCGACCUGAGAGGGUGAUCGGCCACAAUGGAACUGAGAAACGGUCCAGAGUCCUACGGGAGGCAGCAGUAGGGAAUCUUACGCAAUGGGCGAAAGCCUGACGGAGCAACGCCGCGUGAGUGAUGAAGGUCUUCGGAUCGUAAAACUCUGUUAUUAGGGAAGAACAAAUGUGUAAGUAACUAUGCACGUCUUGACGGUACCUGAUCAGAAAGCCACGGCUAACUACGUG